GGGAUAUGUAAUGCGGGCUGCCUCCGGGCGCCCACCUCCACCCGUGAAUACCUAACACUGUUGCUUCGGCGGGGAACCCCCUCGGGGGCGAGCCGCCGGGGACUACUGAACUUCAUGCCUGAGAGUGAUGCAGUCUGAGUCUGAAUAUAAAAUCAGUCAAAACUUUCAACAAUGGAUCUCUUGGUUCCGGCAUCGAUGAAGAACGCAGCGAACUGCGAUAAGUAAUGUGAAUUGCAGAAUUCAGUGAAUCAUCGAGUCUUUGAACGCACAUUGCGCCCCCUGGCAUUCCGGGGGGCAUGCCUGUCCGAGCGUCAUUGCUGCCCAUCAAGCCCGGCUUGUGUGUUGGGUCGUCGUCCCCCCCGGGGGACGGGCCCGAAAGGCAGCGGCGGCACCGUGUCCGGUCCUCGAGCGUAUGGGGCUUUGUCACCCGCUCGACUAGGGCCGGCCGGGCGCCAGCCGACGUCUCCAACCAUUUUUCUUCAGGUUGACCUCGGAUCAGGUAGGGAUACCCGCUGAACUUAAGCAUAUCAAUAAGCGGAGGAA
Molecule: unclassified non-coding RNA, 543 nt
Filed under: Aspergillus sydowii
Lineage: Eukaryota; Fungi; Ascomycota; Eurotiomycetes; Eurotiales; Aspergillaceae
Description: sequence contains ITS1, 5.8S rRNA gene and ITS2
Rfam family: 5.8S ribosomal RNA (bases 161-314)
Source: RNAcentral